RNAcentral lists this non-coding RNA (21 nucleotides) under Caenorhabditis elegans. Lineage: Eukaryota; Metazoa; Nematoda; Chromadorea; Rhabditida; Rhabditidae. The record is from RNAcentral.
UCCGGAAUUCUUUCUGUAUUU